GGGCUUGAAGUGUAACGGUUUUGCAUGUCUCCCUGUCACGGAGAAGGCAGCGGGUUCGACUCCCGUCAGGCCCGCCA
Molecule: transfer RNA, 77 nt
Filed under: Candidatus Andersenbacteria bacterium RIFCSPHIGHO2_01_FULL_46_36
Lineage: Bacteria; Candidatus Anderseniibacteriota
Also listed under: 2 other names
Description: tRNA-Asp
Rfam family: tRNA
About the family: Transfer RNA (tRNA) molecules are approximately 80 nucleotides in length. Their secondary structure includes four short double-helical elements and three loops (D, anti-codon, and T loops). Further hydrogen bonds mediate the characteristic L-shaped molecular structure. tRNAs have two regions of fundamental functional importance: the anti-codon, which is responsible for specific mRNA codon recognition, and the 3' end, to which the tRNAs corresponding amino acid is attached (by aminoacyl-tRNA synthetases). tRNAs cope with the degeneracy of the genetic code in two manners: having more than one tRNA (with a specific anti-codon) for a particular amino acid; and 'wobble' base-pairing, i.e. permitting non-standard base-pairing at the 3rd anti-codon position.
Source: RNAcentral